Molecule: transfer RNA, 87 nt
Filed under: Lysobacteraceae bacterium
Lineage: Bacteria; Pseudomonadati; Pseudomonadota; Gammaproteobacteria; Lysobacterales; Lysobacteraceae
Also listed under: 1 other name
Description: tRNA-Leu
Rfam family: tRNA
About the family: Transfer RNA (tRNA) molecules are approximately 80 nucleotides in length.
Source: RNAcentral
GCCCGGGUGGUGAAACCGGUAGACACAGGGGACUUAAAAUCCCUCGGCCGCGAGGCCAUGCGGGUUCGAGUCCCGCCCCGGGCACCA